Cervus elaphus (red deer) is the source of this 3204-nucleotide long non-coding RNA. RefSeq lists it as uncharacterized. The transcript is spliced from 3 exons. Lineage: Eukaryota; Metazoa; Chordata; Mammalia; Artiodactyla; Cervidae. The record is from RefSeq and is a predicted model, not a curated record.
CGAGCAGGGAUUGAACCCAUGGUCCCCUGCAUUGCAAGACAGAUUCUUAACCAGAGGACCAGCAGGGAAGUCCCCUGCAUUCUCUUCUUUUAUAUUUUCAUCCCUCUACUAUCCUACGAGAGUUAAGUCCUCUCAACCAGAGGGUCAGGAGUAAGUGAUGAUAUUAAAUGGUCAAAGUAUUUCACUGUGUAAUUGCUUUCUUUCAUCUUAAAAAUUGCCUUCUCUUUCUUCCUAUGUGCAUGUUUGGCUAAGUAUGCUGUCAUUUUUAAUCUUUAUUCUUGAUGAGGCAAAGGAACCAGAAGCAAGGGGAAUGACAUUUAACAGCACAUUGUACCAGAGGAAAGGAAAAGCAAAUUUCAAAAAGGUGAGCUGGUGUGCUGAUCUGCUAUUUCUGGCUGCGAAUAAUGUCAUCAAAACAACAAAAUCCAGCCAGAAGUUACUGAAACAAUAGGAAAACCUUGUCAUCUAUGGAACAAGAAGUCUUAUGUUAGAUCAGUUUCAGAGUGUUUCAUUCAAGUGGCUUGAUGAUAUCAGUAAGGAACCAGUUUUCUGUUUUGUUUUUUUCUCUGAGAGGCAUGGGGAAAAAAGUGUUUCCUCUCUUUAUCGGGAAGAAGAAUCUUCCAGCAGACAUCCCUUCACAUCUCAUUGGCCAGAAUUGUGUCACAGGCCUAUGCCGGAUCCAGUGACAGGCAAGGGGACUGGAAUUUCCAGGGCCGAUUUAGGCAAAUCACGAUUCACUUCCUGGGGAUGGAAGAUAUGUAGCUUCCUGUGAAUCACGUGGUUAGAGUUCCGUUGGCAGGGAAGAGCAAGUCGAUGGCUGUGUCUGCUAGGAGUAAUCACGAUUAACUGCUUUCAGGUUUAAAAGCACCUUGAGCAUUCUACCUUUUUCUACUUCUCUGCUCAAAAUUGCACACAUUCUUCAAGGCUCAACUCAAAUGUCACAUUUCCCUUGAGAUUUUCCCUUAUACCUCUAGUCAGAACUUAUUACUUCUUCCUAAAUAUGCCCAGAGCCUUUGUCUCUCACACAUAACACUUUUCACAGUCUGCUUUGGGUUAAGAAAUUUGUCUUUUUGUCUUCUCUAAUUCUGAAUUCCUUGAGAGGAAGGACCACAUAUGAUUCAUGUUUAUGUGCUAAGCCCAGGGACCAGCACAUUUACUGCCGUUCCCCACAAGUUGAUCCCCAUAAGACAGAUUCACCUUGAGUCUGGGGACCAUUAUCGUUGGUUCAUCAUAUACCCAGCACCUAGGGAAGUACCUGGUGCAUGUAGGUGCCCAAAAGGUAUUUUGAAUAAAUAGUAGAAUAAUAAUAACUACCAGUCUCUACUUCUGGUCAAGGUGGAUGAGAGAAGGGGCUGGAUUUACACUUCCAUUUCAAACAGGUAAACAAAAAAACAGACAAAAUAUAUGAAACAACAGUUUCCAAGGCACUGGUCACCAGCAAUGAAGGACACUAGAAAUAAGUAAGGUGACUCCUACCAUGGUCCCAGUUUGCUUUUCUUCACAUAUUUUCCAGGGUACAAUUCAGAGAGGAGAAACUAAGAUGAAACCUGGCAGAUGCCCUGAGUUGAAAAGAGAAAGGAUAUUGGAGAGAAUUCCCCAUUCCAGUGAUACUCUACAAUGGAAGGAAAAAAGAGCCAGAGGAAAGGAUUGGGUUGAGAGGACAAGACUGAACAUAUAGGAGAGAGGAGGCAUACGGCACUGCAGAAGUUCUGAGGAGGGUGGAUUCUUUACCACUGAACCACCUGGCAAAUCCUGAUCCUGAGUCCCUGGAUCAAGCCGUACCUGACACAAACACUCAUUUCUCAAUGAGGUGAGCCAAUACACUCUAGUUUAAGUGAGACCAGUUUUUUGUUUGGAGCCAGAGAAUCCUGGCCAAGAGAGUAAGUCCAGAUUUAUCACUGGAGCCAAGCCAAGACCUGCCUUCCUAUAACUGUGUGAACCUCAUGUGAAGUCCACAAUCUAACCACCAAAGCACGCAAGAGACGAUGAUUCUCCUGUGCGUAUGAGUAUUUUCACGUGUGUGUGUGUUUGCAGCUGUGUUUGAGCAAUGCCAUUUAUUGUCAGCAUGCACACUUCUCAGACACAAAAACCUUUCUUUUUUGAAUAUCUGCAUGGCACGGACCUCAUAAGUCUCAAAGACAGCAACUUCCAAGGUAAUUACAGAGAUCUGGUGAUAACCAUAGCAACCCAGUGAUUCUGAAAUGUAAUGUCAUGCAGACCGCUGAAGCUCAGAGACCCUGAUGGCAACAGAGUACCUGCCCAGGUUGUGGGGUCUUGCAGGGCUUUUCUUUUCCUUGAACAGAAGGGCUUCUCACCACACAACACCUCCCACAAUGAUUCUUAAGGUUUUGAAUUUUUUACAGACCAGAAAAAUGUCCAAAACAAAAGUACUGACAUAAAGUUGCCAACUUUACUUUGCUAAGAACAGUUCACAAAAGAGAUAAAACAAACAACUGCCAUCUACUAUUAGCAUCAUUUCAUAAAAGAAAGGAUAUUUUCCCAUGUCUGAAAGGAGAGAAUAAAAGAGAAGCCCUUCAACAGAGCACAUUUAUCUUUAAGAGAAAUGCACGACUUUGGGGAUGCUGCGCCUCGUGGGGCACAUAUACAUGGCGAGGCUGCCCGGAUGAGGGAGGUCUGCAGGGCCUAAAGCCACUCACUCUGCCUGCCAAGGCAUGAGGCCAGCAUGGGCUGCGUCCACUCGAAUGAAGGGGCACUUUUUUACUUGACACAAAGAGUCUUCCGCUUGCCAAACUGUGUGCUGACGGGGCUGUAUCUGCCAGAAAGGGCAACCUUUUCUCAUCUGCACAAAGCACUUUUGGGGCUGGCAGUGGCUGUGCUUUAGCCAGCACUUGGCACGUAGUAGUUGCUCAAUAAACAUGUACUUACUGGAUGUUGCAGGGCUGACAGAAGUUCCAUCAAGGGCCGUUCCUGGUCUGCUUGCUGACUUCAGGGGCCAGGCAGUCCUUGGCUGUUCAGCUACAGGAAGGCGUUUCAUGUCUUUUCUCCUCUCACAGUGCCUAAAUGGACGUCAGCGGAGAGGAAGAUUACAGAAGCCUCUCCUGCUUUGUUCUUUUAGAGGACCAGAAAGAAACCAGCCUUGUUUUUUUUGUUUGUUUUUAUAAAUUCAAAUCUUUAUUGAAUUUGUUACAAUAUCGCUCCCAUUUUUUUUUUUAAUGUUUUGGUGUUUUGGCUAUGAUGCAUGUG